This 594-nucleotide ribosomal RNA is filed under the name uncultured Bacteroidota bacterium. RNAcentral's name for it is "bacterial SSU rRNA". It matches the Rfam family "Bacterial small subunit ribosomal RNA", at positions 122 to 715 of the family's 1533-position model. Lineage: Bacteria; Pseudomonadati; Bacteroidota. The record is from RNAcentral.
CAACCUGCCGCUUACUCGGGGAUAGCCUUUCGAAAGAAAGAUUAAUACCCGAUGGUAUAAAGAGUUCGCAUGUUCUCUUUAUUAAAGAAUUUCGGUAAGCGAUGGGGAUGCGUUCCAUUAGAUAGUUGGCGGGGUAACGGCCCACCAAGUCUACGAUGGAUAGGGGUUCUGAGAGGAAGGUCCCCCACAUUGGAACUGAGACACGGUCCAAACUCCUACGGGAGGCAGCAGUGAGGAAUAUUGGUCAAUGGACGAGGGUCUGAACCAGCCAAGUAGCGUGAAGGAUGACUGCCCUAUGGGUUGUAAACUUCUUUUAUAAGGGAAUAAAGUGAGGGACGUGUCCCUUUUUGUGUGUACCUUAUGAAUAAGGAUCGGCUAACUCCGUGCCAGCAGCCGCGGUAAUACGGAGGAUCCAAGCGUUAUCCGGAUUUAUUGGGUUUAAAGGGAGCGUAGGUUGACAUAUAAGUCAGCUGUGAAAGUUUACGGCUCAACCGUGAAAUUGCAGUUGAUACUGUAUGUCUUGAGUGCACAAGAGGUGGGCGGAAUUCGUGGUGUAGCGGUGAAAUGCUUAGAUAUCACGAAGAACUCCGAUUG